This 732-nucleotide long non-coding RNA is filed under the name Lathyrus oleraceus (garden pea). Its description in RNAcentral is "Pisum sativum (pea) long non-coding RNA (PSAT_LNC000107)". The record is from RNAcentral. Lineage: Eukaryota; Viridiplantae; Streptophyta; Magnoliopsida; Fabales; Fabaceae.
AUUUCUCUUUAUUAACGAUUUUUAUUCAUCAAUAUUGAUUUUUCUCAAAACUGUAUUUUGUUCUCUUUUCAUCUGCAUUAUAUUCUUCUUUUUUGUUCUCAUUAUUGUUUUUAUUUAUGUUCCUACUAUUUUUAUACCCAUCAUAUUGAAAAUUUCAUUUUUUUUUCUGAUACCCAUGAUUUUUUCUGCCCUUCACUGUUUUUUUUCUACUCUUCAUUAUUUUUCUAUGCGCUUCCUUGUUUUAAUUUUGAAAUCCGUUGUUUUUUUUUCUUCUGAUAAUGCUAUGUUUUCAUCGUUAGACUGAUUGUGCUUUGUUAUAUGAUCAUCGUCUUGCAUUUGUUAAGUUAUUGAAGUAGUGAUUUCAAUAUUUUAUAAUGAUUUUGUUUAACAUUAUCUUGUUACUUUCUUGUUGUUUUGUUGCCACUUUUGCCCAUAAUAAUUUAAAUUUGAUACACUUUUAAUUUUGAAAAUAUAUUUCUUUAUAACUAUUUACUUAGUGAUACUUAUGUGUAUGACAUUUUCAAUUUGAUAUUAAUUUUAGUAUUGUUUCUAUUAUUUUUUAAUAAUUUUAUGAAAAUAUACAUAUUAUCAUGUCACUGUCAAGUACGUUCAAACAUAUGAUAUGAUAAAAUAAUGUAACAUACUUUUUUACUCCGUGUGCACCAAACGCAUGAUAUGAUAAGUGUCUAUUAUGUCAUUAUUCUCUUCCGACUCUUGGCAGUUCUUUAUCCU